UACGUAGGGUCCGAGCGUUGUCCGGAAUUACUGGGCGUAAAGAGCUCGUAGGUGGUUUGUCGCGUUGUUCGUGAAAACUCACAGCUCAACUGUGAGCUUGCGGGCGAUACGGGCAGACUAGAGUACUGCAGGGGAGACUGGAAUUCCUGGUGUAGCGGUGGAAUGCGCAGAUAUCAGGAGGAACACCGGUGGCGAAGGCGGGUCUCUGGGCAGUAACUGACGCUGAGGAGCGAAAGCGUGGGGAGCGAACAGG
RNAcentral lists this ribosomal RNA (253 nucleotides) under uncultured bacterium. RNAcentral describes it as "partial 16S ribosomal RNA". It matches the Rfam family "Bacterial small subunit ribosomal RNA", at positions 524 to 776 of the family's 1533-position model. The record is from RNAcentral.